Molecule: long non-coding RNA, 1082 nt
Organism: Drosophila biarmipes
Lineage: Eukaryota; Metazoa; Arthropoda; Insecta; Diptera; Drosophilidae
Exons: 2
Source: RefSeq, a predicted model, not a curated record
UUUUUAGCCAGUAUUUCAAUUUUUAGAUUACAUGUUUGAAUAUUUCAUGCUCCAAAGUUAUUUGAUAUUUCAAUGAAAAGCUGUGGAAAUCCAAAUGUUUAUGAAAUUCUAUUGCUUUACAAAAGUUUUGACAAAGAAAAUUUCCAUAAAGUCAAUCUUGUGCAAUCUAAUUCAUAUUUCGAUGUGCCCCAUGUAACAAAUAUUCAACAUAGUAUGCCAGUUUUGUUUGAAAACAAUAACAAAUAGAAAUACAAGAAAUAUCAUAUUUAGCCAGAAUCCCAUUUAGAAACCAAAUGACGAUGGUACCAGCCCACUGAAACGGAUUAGUUACACAAUGCAAACAUUGUGCAUCAAUCUCGGCAAUUUUUUUCCCCUGAUCCUCCGGAAAAAAUAAGUCCGGAAAAUUCUCGGCAGAACAAUUGCAAUUUGGAUUGGAAAUCUGACUGUCACACGACUCAGCUCAGCUUGGACUCUCCGCCCCUUGCCAAUCUCCUACCAUCAAUAAAACUCGACAGGCAACCCAGAGGAGACAAGAAAAUUAUGAUGCGGCUUGGUUGGAGAGCUUACUCAGGGGUUGUGGGACCGGAUGCGGAGCCUUGAGCAAAUAAAGAUGUUUUUUCCAUGUUUCGCAGACGCCAGCAGCAUCAAUACGCAUCAAUCCCCGCCAGCAUUCUCCGCAGAUCCACUGGACCCCUUUCUCAUCCGAGGCAGACGCCUAGGACGUGCUUAAUCUGCAAUCAGAGGCGGAAGUUGGUCUCCUCCCAGCGUCCUCCAUCGACCGUCUGUCUCGUUGGCUUUCGGUCCAGCUUAGAGUCCUGUCCCCGUCUUUAUUUCAGUUGCAGUCUGAGCCCUGGCCUGAUACCCUUGGAAGGGGUGCCAUUACUUGCACCAAAAAGUGAUUCUUUCGAGACUCAUUUAACAAUAGAAAAAAUAAAAAGUAAUAAAUUGACGCAAUAAGUAAUAAUUUCUAUUCAUAUGAUUACGAUUCAAUAAUAAAGAGAAACAAAGAUAUAGAAAAAGUGGAAUAAAUGAAGGCAAGGUUUAAUUUCGCACGAAUUCGGAAUAAAAGAUUUUUAAAACCA